Serinus canaria (Common canary) is the source of this 621-nucleotide long non-coding RNA. The record is from Ensembl. Lineage: Eukaryota; Metazoa; Chordata; Aves; Passeriformes; Fringillidae.
GGCAGAGCUGGUCCAUGGUGUCAGGGAAUUCUCUGUGUCACACUGAAACCAGAGUGCUGAUCUCCUUAAUGGGCUGGUGCAGUCCUUGCUGGGCUGGUUUUCCCAAUGCUAACAUGUGUCUAACAUUUAAUUCCCAUUAUUCACAGGCACCUUGUGAGUAUCUGUAGCAACCUCGAGAGAAAAAUGUGAUGAAAAAUAUACAAAAUGCUGAAAUCACAACUUCUCUGCUUCAGAUACCACCUGGAAAGCCAUGCAGGACAUCCUAACACAUUCAAGGCUGGAAUUUCUUCUGGGAGUGGCACAAAAUUGGAGUUUUUGCUGAGGUCAAGGACAACUGAGCCUGAGAAAGAUCCCAGCCCCACUUCUGCCACUGGACCCUGGAUGGAGGCUUUUACAGCUCUGGGAUUUCUGCAGUUCCCUCUGGAUGAGUGAGGUCUGUCCUUGCUGAUGCCCUCCAAAAUACAGGUCAGCUCUUCAGAUCAGGUUCCACAGUCACAGCCUCAGCCUGGGCAUAGGAUCUGUGAUGGAAGAAAUUUCUCCUGGAUCAAACAGCAUGCUUGGAGGCAGAAAUGUCUCAUUUUAUAAUAAUAAAAAAAAAAAAUAAAAUAAAGAAAAAUAAAA